AUUGAACGCUGGCGGCAGGCCUAACACAUGCAAGUCGAACGAGUGGCGGACGGGUGAGUAAUGUCUGGGAAACUGCCUGAUGGAGGGGGAUAACUACUGGAAACGGUAGCUAAUACCGCAUACCAUCGGAUGUACCCAGAUGGGAUUAGCUAGUAGGUGGGGUAAAGGCUCACCUAGGCGACGAUCCCUAGCUGGUCUGUGAGGAUGACCAGCCACACUGGAACUGAGACACGGUCCAGACUCCUACGGGAGGCAGCAGUGGGGAAUAUUGCAAAAUGGGCGCAAGCCUGAUGCAGCCAUGCCGCGUGUAUGAAGAAGGACUUCGGGUUGUAAAGUACUUUCAGCGUGGAGGCGUUACCCGCAGAAGAAGCACCGGCUAACUCCGUGCCAGCAGCCGCGGUAAUUC
This 406-nucleotide ribosomal RNA is filed under the name uncultured bacterium. RNAcentral describes it as "partial 16S ribosomal RNA". It matches the Rfam family "Bacterial small subunit ribosomal RNA", at positions 30 to 526 of the family's 1533-position model. The record is from RNAcentral.